Molecule: ribosomal RNA, 1059 nt
Filed under: Salmonella enterica subsp. enterica serovar Typhimurium
Lineage: Bacteria; Pseudomonadati; Pseudomonadota; Gammaproteobacteria; Enterobacterales; Enterobacteriaceae
Description: partial 23S ribosomal RNA
Rfam family: Bacterial large subunit ribosomal RNA
Source: RNAcentral
GCUGUGAGCUCGAUGAGUAGGGCGGGACACGUGGUAUCCUGUCUGAAUAUGGGGGGACCAUCCUCCAAGGCUAAAUACUCCUGACUGACCGAUAGUGAACCAGUACCGUGAGGGAAAGGCGAAAAGAACCCCGGCGAGGGGAGUGAAAAAGAACCUGAAACCGUGUACGUACAAGCAGUGGGAGCCCCACCACUAAGCCAGUGGUGAACUCCACAUCCGCAUCCUUUGCUGAGGAUACGGUUAACGGAGCGAAAGCGACGUUCAACCGCAAAACAAGCAGAGGGGGCUUAGUGGUGGGGUGACUGCGUACCUUUUGUAUAAUGGGUCAGCGACUUAUAUUCUGUAGCAAGGUUAACCGAAUAGGGGAGCCGGAGGGAAACCGAGUCUUAAUUGGGCGUUAAGUUGCAGGGUAUAGACCCGAAACCCGGUGAUCUAGCCAUGGGCAGGUUGAAGGUUGGGUAACACUAACUGGAGGACCGAACCGACUAAUGUUGAAAAAUUAGCGGAUGACCUGUGGCUGGGGGUGAAAGGCCAAUCAAACCGGGAGAUAGCUGGUUCUCCCCGAAAGCUAUUUAGGUAGCGCCUCGUGAAUUCAUCUCCGGGGGUAGAGCACUGUUUCGGCUAGGGGGCCAUCCCGGCUUACCAACCCGAUGCAAACUGCGAAUACCGGAGAAUGUUAUCACGGGAGACACACGGCGGGUGCUAACGUCCGUCGUGAAGAGGGAAACAACCCAGACCGCCAGCUAAGGUCCCAAAGUCAUGGUUAAGUGGGAAACGAUGUGGGAAGGCCCAGACAGCCAGGAUGUUGGCUUAGAAGCAGCCAUCAUUUAAAGAAAGCGUAAUAGCUCACUGGUCGAGUCGGCCUGCGCGGAAGAUGUAACGGGGCUAAACCAUGCACCGAAGCUGCGGCAGCGAACGUAUCACCCAAGACAACUUUACGGAGUUGACGAUUGACGGAGCGAAGCGACGUCAAAGCGUUCAUUAAAGUCGAGUUGGCUUAGGGAUACGUUCGUUGGGUAGGGGAGCGUUCUGUAAGCCUGUGAAGGUGUGUCGUGAGGC